This 525-nucleotide long non-coding RNA is filed under the name Dasypus novemcinctus (nine-banded armadillo). RNAcentral describes it as "lncRNA (ENSDNOG00000052515.1)". Lineage: Eukaryota; Metazoa; Chordata; Mammalia; Cingulata; Dasypodidae. The record is from RNAcentral.
CACUCUGUAAUCUUUCAGGCACUGUAAAACUGAAGCUGGCCGCAGGGAAAAUAAACAUUACAAUACCCGGCACUUAAACAAUUGUACCUAUACAAUUAAGUAACAAAAGCGUGAGGCACCUGGAAUCACAGCAUUUGUGCCUAAUGCCAGCAACAAUAUAAAGCAUUCAAGUGACAUUUGAUAAUGAGCAGACAGUGGAGGCAUUACACACGUCUUUAGAAGAAUUAGACUUCCUACCUUGAAAAGACAGACGAGGAAGAAGAAUUCACAGUCACCUGAAGUAUUAGCCUGCAGCAGUCAUUAUGAAAAGCCCCCACAAGAAGCUUGCAAAAUCCUCAGAGGAUUUCUUAAAUCUUAUGAAAAAGGGAAAGAAAUAGAGUAAAAGAAGAUUUCUACUCAAAAAAGAAAAUGUAGAGUUAGAAACCAAGGAGUACUUAAUCUAUUGACAUUUUGAACUCUUACCACCCAGAUUUCUCUUUAUACAUUACUUUGUAUUAUUUCAAUAGUACUUAAAAAUUUCUGCAU